RNAcentral lists this ribosomal RNA (221 nucleotides) under uncultured bacterium. Its description in RNAcentral is "partial 16S ribosomal RNA". It matches the Rfam family "Bacterial small subunit ribosomal RNA", at positions 1283 to 1500 of the family's 1533-position model. The record is from RNAcentral.
UGAUCUCAGUUCGGAUUGCAGGCUGCAACCCGCCUGCAUGAAGUCGGAAUCGCUAGUAAUCGCGGGUCAGCAUACCGCGGUGAAUACGUUCCCGGGCCUUGUACACACCGCCCGUCACACCACGAAAGUUGGUAACACCCGAAGCCGGUGGCCUAACCCUUAGGGGAGGGGAGCUGUCGAAGGUGGGACUGAUGAUUGGGGUGAAGUCGUAACAAGGUAAC